AGUUCGGAUUGUAGUCUGCAACUCGACUACAUGAAGCUGGAAUCGCUAGUAAUCGCGGAUCAGAAUGCCGCGGUGAAUACGUUCCCGGGUCUUGUACACACCGCCCGUCACACCAUGGGAGUCGGAAAUGCCCGAAGUCUGUGACCCAACCUUAGGGAGGGAGCAGCCGAAGGCAGGUCGGAUGACUGGGGUGAAGUCGUAACAAGGUACC
Molecule: ribosomal RNA, 211 nt
Filed under: uncultured bacterium
Lineage: Bacteria
Description: partial 16S ribosomal RNA
Rfam family: Bacterial small subunit ribosomal RNA
Source: RNAcentral